CAGGUACAGCCCUAAAAAGGAAAGAAAAAAAAAUAAUAAAACACUAUUUCAUCUUCUGAAAUACCAGUGGCUUGUGAGAAGAUGUAACAGUUACUUUACUUUUGUAUCUUCUCCCCAUGCACAAUGUUGAGCAUAGAGUAAACACUUCGCAAAUACGUCUGAGCAUGUGUAUUAGUUUCACAUUGCCAUUUGGAGCAAAUUACCACAAAUUUUGUAACUUAAAGCAACAAAAAUUUAUUAUCUUAGAGUUCUAGAAGUCAGAAAUUCAAAACGAGUCUCACUGAGCUAACCAAGGUGUUGGCCGGGCUGCAUUCCUUUCUGGAGGCUCUAGGAGAGAAUCCAUUUUUUUUACUUUUCCAACUUCUAGAGGCUGCCACAUUCCUUAGCUUGUGACUCCUUCCCAUUUUCAAAGCCAUCAAAGGCAGGUCUUUCUCACAAUGCCACUUCUCUUUCUAACUUUUUUGCUUUUGCUUUGCUUGUUUAAGGAUUCCUGUGAUUACAUUUGGCUCACCAGAUAAUCCAGGAUAAUGUCCUUAUUUUAAAGUCAGCUGAUUAGCAAUUUUAAUUCCACCUACAAUCUUAAUUCCCCUUCCAGGUGACAUAACAUAUUCAUAGGUUCUACGCAUUAAGAAAUGUAUAUUUUUGGGGGGUGAGAGAUGGGAAUUAUUCUGUCUACAACAGCAUGUAAGACAAAAAAAAAAGAAAAGAAAAGAAAAAGAAAGAAAAAGGAAGAAAAGAGGAAAAAAUGGAGUGAAAUAUUAACAACAUAACAAAUAUGUAAGAAUUAGUACAUUACAUUUUAAGAAUCUGAAACAAAGCCAAAAAAAACUGCUCUAUUCAAUGCUAAUUAGAUAAUUCCAAGCAUGUGUGCAUGUGCGUACAGCAUUAGCUUGGUUAGCUGAUGCCACAGCUGGGAUAUUACUAUUUACUAAUUAGACAAACUACAUAAGAAAUGAAUGACACAUUUGCUAGUUAUCAAACUUUUUAGAAAAAAUUCCCAAAUGCCCUUCUUCCUGGAAAAGGAUUCUUUUCUUGCCCCUUCCAUUCCGACUCACCUCCGAUAUUUCUGGAAAACUUCUAAGAGAGUGGAUAAAAGUCUUAACAUUUGCCUACCCAGAUUAAUCUGUCACAGGGCCAGGACGGGUACACUCUUGGAGACAGAGCACCAUUGGCCUGAAUUAGAUGCAAAGGCUGGUGGACAUCGCCCCCUUGUGCUGAGAGGUGGAGAAAUCAUCCCCUCUGGCUACCCAAUCGGUUUGCUGGAGGAAAUUUCUUGGCUAAAAUUCCAUGGAAAAUGGUUGUUUGGAGAGUGAAAUUCCCCCAGAGCUCUUAGAAUCAACUUUUUUCAUCAUUUUAAACCUAUUUAUUGGGGAAUCUCUCUAAAAUAUAUUACACAUAAAAAAUAAUCAUACCGAGUCAAUACUGCAUGAAAGAACGUGUAACAGCAUAAAAUAAAUUAUUCAUUCCCUUGCCUUGUAAAGAGCAUGCUGAAUGCAAUUUUUACAAUUGUUUUUGGCUGUGAACCUCAGUUCAUUCAGUCUCCCACAGAAGAGAGAGAACACCAAUAUUCGUUUGCAUGUUUAUGACAUUUUUUAAAGUUAUUUUCAUUACUGUUAUUUGGGGGGAGGGUGUUGUUUGUCUGUGGUCAUUUUCUGAUUCUGAGUUUGUCAGUGUGGCUUCCUUAGCAGCUUCCUUCCCUUUCUAAUUUGCUGUGGAAAUAGUAACUAGGAUACCAAGCUGGUUAGAACUGCAAGUAAAAGGAGGUUAAAAUAGGCUCCCAAUAAAGCCCUCUCUUAUAAGUGAAGUGUGUGAGAUUUAAGACAAAACCAGAGUGACGUCGCUCAUGGGACUGCCUGUUCCAUUGGAAUUCAUGACUGUUUGACAUCUAUUUAGCUACUUAGACGCCAUUUUUACUUCUUUUCUAUUUUUGUUCUGAAUAGGUUAGUGUGAAAUUGUUGUGUUUUGGCAAGAUGAAAUAUUGCUAUAUUUUUCAACGUGCCAAAGCUGUGAAAUGGGAUAAAAGAUCCUCACAACUGGGAUUGGAAAAAAGAAAAGAAAGAAAAGCCAUGCCCCCUUUGAUGCUUAUGGCAACUGGGUAUAAAACCAGGGCUGCAGCUUAAAUGUGCAUUAACAGCAGAACUCGCUUUUAUUUCUGGCUUUGCUUUUGAGAAGCCAGGGAAAGAAAGACAACUGUCAAGGGCGAAGAGAAAAUGAUGUAUAGUGUUGCUGCACCUGUUUUGCCACAGUGAAGACAAGACCAAGAGAAUGCGAGAAAACUGAUGCAGAGCUAUGGCAUCACAGGACUACAGAACCAUCUACCUCUAGGCAUCUUGUUCCAUGAAAAGAAUAACCCCCUAUUAAGCUGCUGACAGGUUUUCUGUUAUUUCCAGCUGAAGUAUUUCUUGGGAGUAUUUUACUUAGAGCUGAAGACAGAGGGAGAAGCCCUCUGUGUGGGGAAGCCUGGGGGAGUUGGUAACCAGAGUUCCAGCUUGUGGAGAAGCUGGUCUGAGAGGAGCAGAGACACAAGACAGAGGGAGUGCGUCCUGUGGUUUAAAUUCUUCUGCCAGUGAAUUCCUCCUUUUGUCUAAAAUAGCUGAGGUACAGUUUCAUUUGCAAACCAAAGUCCUGUCUAAUUUAAGUAUGAGCUCAUUUUUUUCUUCUUCUUGUCCUUCUCCCUUUUUUUUGGCCUCACCCUGGCAUGUAGAAGUUCCCAGAUAUCAAACCCAUGCCACAGAAAUGACCAUGCCAGACCCCUAACCCACUAGGCCUCCAGGGAACUCCCAAGCUCAUUCUUGUUUUAUAAAAAACAAGUAUGUAUAUGUAAGCGUAUAAUCAUCUAAGCAUGAAAAAAUAUGAAUGGAUGUACUAAACAGUUACCAGCAAUUAUUUCUGGGGAGAACUGGAAUUGAGGGGACUAAGAAGCACCUAUGCAUUCCUUUUCCUUUAUAAAAAUCUUAAUGUUUAAACUUAUUAUAACCAGCCUGUAUCAUUUUUGUACUUUUAAAGGACUAAAAGCUGCAGGAACUCUGAGAUAAUGUGUGUGUUGGUUCAUGCUGUUGGGUCGAGGUGUGUGUCAAUUGAAAACCAAUACACAACAGUCAUCAUGAAGCUGAGAACUACUGCUUACAAACCACUCAACAAAUCUCAGACAGACAACCACAAAUCCCAAGGCCCGAAUAAAAGCAGCAGUAGGUGCCGAGUAAGGAACUAAUGCUGGGAAGUUGUAUCUAAUUGGCCUGUGUCCACCCUCCCAAACAUAUUGUUUCCAUUAUUUCUGCUAAAAGCCAACCCACCAAGCCCACAAUCUAAGUUCAAAACAAACAAACAUAAAACAGUGUGCUUGCUAUGCAAAUACAGCUUCAAAGCAAGCUCAUCCAUUUACUGCUUCCCAGCCCAAUGCAUUUCUAGACAGUAAACUCUAGAGCGGCCAUAGCUCAGGAGUGCUAAAGAAGAUAGGAAGUAUGCUGGGCCAACCUAAGCACACAGGAUGAUGGGAUGAAGCCAGGACCAGAGAGGAUGGGGUCGUGGGAAAGGGCUAUAGCUGGCUCAGCCACAUGAGCUACUUGGUAGAUGGACCAAAGCAGAAUAUCACAGGGACAUGACAUUCUCAGGGUACAGAUGGUGUCAGCAAGCAGAACACUGACAGCGAAAAGAAAAGCAGGUGAGCGAUGCCAGCACGACUUCAAGUGGUGGAUGGAGGAUGCCAGGAGCAGAACUUAGGGAGAGGACCAGCAAGAUCUUGUGUGAGUCUGGGGGUUUGGGAGAUGGCAUCUGAUGACAGACGAGACCCGGAAUUCCAGGCAGGUAUACCAAAGCAGAAAUUCAGGGGUCUGAAGAGUAAGAGCUACAUAUGCAUACUUACUGAUUUAAACUCAUAUUUAAUUCUCCCAAAUACCUCAUGAAUAAGGAACUUUUUACCUUCUCCACUUUUGAGAUGAAGAAACUAAGGUAGACAGAAGAUAUACAAUUUACUCAAAGUCACACAGCUAGUAUUAGCUUGGGUUGUGGUAAUAGAAUACCACAGACUGGGUAGCAUAAACAAUAGAAAUGUAUUUUCUUAGCAUUCUAGACUCUCAGAAGUCCAAAAUCAAGGUAGUGGCAAGGUUGAUUUCUGGUUAAGCCUCUCUUCCUGAACUGCAGAUGGUUGCCUUCCUGUUGUGUCCACACAUGGCCCUUCUUUGGUACCCUCACAUGGAGAGAGAGCUCUGGUUUCUCUUCCUCAUCUUCUAAAAGCACCAGUCCUACUGGGUUAGGGCCCCACCCUAUGAUUUCAUCUAACCUUGAUUACCUUCUUAGAGGCCCUAUCUGCAAAUAUAGUCACAUUGGGAGUUAGGGCUUCAACAUAAAAAUUUGGAGUGGAAGGGAAAAUUCAGUCCAUAGGAGCUAGUUAGUAGCAAACACAGGUGGUAAGACUCCAGAGCCUAAUAUUCUUUCUGUAUUUUUAUAUUUUGUUGAGGUAUAACUUUAAAGUUAUAGUUGAAUGAGUUCUGAAUAACUGCAUACACCCACAUAACCCACCUUCCUAGCAAGAAUUUAUGGUACUCGUAACACUCUACCAGACCAUCUGAUGACAGGAAGUGAUGUCACUGGUAGCUUUCACGGCAGCCAGGAGUCAUCUCUGGCACUGUGGACACAAGGUCCACAAGCAGCAAGACUGGAUGCUGAGUUGCCUCCUGUACACUCCCAUCAUGGUGCUCCCUGCCUGGGAGCCCUCACCCUCUGCUACUCUGGCCAUUUUCCCAGGGUAUUUCUCCCCUCCCCUCUCUUAUAAGGCAGUGUCUGUGGCAUCCCCUUUGAGUUAUCUCACCAUCCACUCUUUGGCUUCUCAUCUCUUCCAUCUCCCAUAUAAACAGGUACCUGCAUUACAUUCCCCCGAUUCAAAUACUCAGCACAGAUUCUCUUUUCCCAGUUACACUUUUGUAGUACACUGCUAUCCUCCCUACGUGUCAGGACUGGCUCAGAAACUGGGGCAGUUCUAGGCACUGGAUGGAGCCCAUGCACAGAGGCUGAAGGUGGAGUACUUGUCAGCAGAGAUUUCACCAAGAGGAUACCACAGAUUAUAAUUUUUUUCCUUUUUGGCCUCACCUGUGGCAUGUGGAAGUUCCUGGGCCAGGGAUCAAACCCAUGCCACAGCAGUGACCAGAGCCACAGCAGCGAACAUGCUGGGUCCUUAACUCCACUCUCCCCCAAUUCAUUUGCUGCCCAUGGCUCACCUGUUUUUCAGGUGAACCUCUACAAACGGUCAGUAUUAGAGAUGUUAGUGGUCCUUUAGCUAUCAUCAUGACACUAAGCUACCAAGUGGAUGUGUCAAAUUGCCACAUAUUUUUUUUUUAAAGUGGAUGUCUAUAUGAAGUGGUUGGAGAGAAAAUAAUCAAUUCAGAGUGCAAAACGGGACAUUCCAACACCAAGAAGCCUUCAACAGCCUGUGGGUAUCCCCUGGGAUCCUGCCAACCAGCUGGGGUGUGGAGGAGGAAGCCUUUGCAGAGGCUUAAAAGAGGCAAAAUGCCUGGUCAGCUCUAGUUCCAGUUUACAACAGGCUCUGGCUAACUGUAAAAUCCAUAUUGAGCAGAUCCACAGGACUACCACAGAAGGUAAGCCAUCUCUAACUUGGCUGCAAAACUAAGUCUUGGCUUCCAACAGCCUUCAGGAAGAAAAACCAGGAGGCAGGCUGCACCCCCUGGCUCACUGCCCUUAGCCCAGGCUUCUCCAGAACCACAAUAUCUCUGUGUCAAGUCUUCUUUCCUCAGCUCACACCACCUAAGAGAUAGGCUGUUGGCCUGUCCUGAUUGUAGGAGUAGAAGCCCCACUGUCAGGAGGUAAAAGGAAAACAGAGUUCCCACUUCUCCUUCAGUCUUUCUAUGUGAUAAAUCACUUCAGCUGGGAGAAGUGUCAUGGAAGGACCUGGCAGCUAAUGGGAGAAAUGGAACCCAGAAAAAGAAAGGAAGAAAGAAUCCCAUUAGUCACAGAGCUUUUCAUCUAAACCGCAGAAUAGGCUCUUGCUUUCUGUGGGAAUAAUAAAAUCACAGUCCUACACUGUAUUAGUUCCUCAAACAAAAGCAGCUCCCUAGAGUGUAAUGCUUCAGGCCUUCUGCACUGCAUUUAGUUUUCACUGGGUAAAGGCAUACAUUAAAAAGAAAGACUAGGUGCCCUUAAGAAAAUCAAGGAAGUAAAUAAGUUUGCUAUUCAAACAAGGAAAACACAAGCUGCUAGGCAGCCCUGCCCUGUGGUCAAUUCAACACCUGGUGAACAAACAGCACAGUCUCCGCCCAAGCUGGAUUUUUCUCACAGUAGCCCAGCAGCUCCAGAGGUCCAGCAGAAUGCCAGGGCCUUCUCUCAGACCUGGGAAAUAGGGUGAGAAGGAAGGGCUGGGAGAGAUACUUCAUUCCAAAGGAAAGUCACAACAGCUAAAAGUUACAAGAAAAGGACCUCAAAGCAGGUAGCCCGAGCUAUUUUAAAGGUAAAGAAACACUCUGUGGAGUUCCUGUUGUGGCUCAAGGCGUUAAGGACCCAACAUAGUAUCCAUGAGGUUUGAUCCCUGGCCUCGCUCAGUGGGUUAAGGAUCCAGCAUUGCCGUGAGCUGUGGUGCAGGUCAC
This 6593-nucleotide long non-coding RNA is filed under the name Sus scrofa (pig). Its description in RNAcentral is "lncRNA (ENSSSCG00000060191.1)". Lineage: Eukaryota; Metazoa; Chordata; Mammalia; Artiodactyla; Suidae. The record is from RNAcentral.